This 467-nucleotide long non-coding RNA is filed under the name Selaginella moellendorffii. RNAcentral's name for it is "long non-coding RNA (SMOE_LNC000844)". The record is from RNAcentral. Lineage: Eukaryota; Viridiplantae; Streptophyta; Lycopodiopsida; Selaginellales; Selaginellaceae.
AUCGAAGCUGUUGAAGCAUUCCUCCCUCACGCCACCUGAGAGAAAAAAGAGAGAAACACGUUUAGUUUCAUCAUGCGCAUACAUACAUACAUCCACGUCUUUGUAGCCGCCCCGAGACUAGCGUUACGUCACAUGGAGGUUGCUUUGUCUGGCUGCGACUGGCAAAGAUUCAAGCGUUACCUCCGUAUUCGCGAUCCCCAAGAAGAACUUGCUCAUAGUCUUCCCUCGAGGAACGAUCCAUCGAUCCAUCGACUUGCUCGACGGAGAGCGAGAGCGCAGCGCACAGAACAGCAAGAACCUGAGGUGAGGCAACGGUAGUAGUAAUUGCUCUCUACGAAAAGGAGCAAAAAGCGUAAAAGAACCGCGUACCUUCGUACUAGCAUGGCGAACAAGCCAGUUCCAUUGCUACCAGCAGCUGUGAUGACGACGCUCCUGGCAGUAGCCGGAAUAGCUUGGACGCUUCUCAG